GACGAACGCUGGCGGCGUGCUUAACACAUGCAAGUCGAACGGAAAGGCCCUGCUUUUGUGGGGUGCUCGAGUGGCGAACGGGUGAGUAACACGUGAGUAACCUGCCCUUGACUUUGGGAUAACUUCAGGAAACUGGGGCUAAUACCGGAUAGGAGCUCCUGCUGCAUGGUGGGGGUUGGAAAGUUUCGGCGGUUGGGGAUGGACUCGCGGCUUAUCAGCUUGUUGGUGGGGUAGUGGCUUACCAAGGCUUUGACGGGUAGCCGGCCUGAGAGGGUGACCGGCCACAUUGGGACUGAGAUACGGCACAGACUCCUACGGGAGGGAGCAGUGGGGAAGAUUGCACGAUGGGCGGAAGCCUGAUGCAGCAACGCCGCGUGCGGGAUGACGGCCUUCGGGUGGUAAACCGCUUUCGCAUGUGACGAAGCGUGAGUGACGGUAAUGGGUAAAGAAGCACCGGCUAACUACGUG
Molecule: ribosomal RNA, 468 nt
Filed under: uncultured bacterium
Lineage: Bacteria
Description: partial 16S ribosomal RNA
Rfam family: Bacterial small subunit ribosomal RNA
Source: RNAcentral